CCAAUAGCGUAUAUUAAAGUUGCUGCAGUUAAAAAGCUCGUAGUUGAAUUUCGGGAUCAAUUUACUGGUCGUGCCUACGGUACGUACUGGUAUUGUUGGUUCCUCCUUUCUGAGGAGCCGCGAUGUCAUUAACUUGGUGUCGCGGGGAAUCAGGACUGUUACUUUGAAAAAAUUAGAGUGUUUAAAGCAGGCUAACGCUUGAAUACAUUAGCAUGGAAUAAUGAAAUAGGACGUUUGAUCCUAUUUUGUUGGUUUCUAGGGUCGACGUAAUGAUUAAUAGGGAUAGUUGGGGGCAUUAGUAUUCAAUUGUCAGAGGUGAAAUUCUUGGAUUUAUUGAAGACUAACUACUGCGAAAGCAUUUGCCAAGGAUGUUUUCAUUAAUCAAGAACGAAAGUUAGGGGAUCGAAGACGAUCAGAUACCGUCGUAGUCUUAACCAUAAACUAUGCCGACUAGGGAUCGGAUGAUGUUAAUUUUUUAAUGACUCAUUCGGCGCCUUACG
RNAcentral lists this ribosomal RNA (500 nucleotides) under uncultured Glomeromycotina. Its description in RNAcentral is "partial small subunit ribosomal RNA". It matches the Rfam family "Eukaryotic small subunit ribosomal RNA", at positions 591 to 1092 of the family's 1831-position model. Lineage: Eukaryota; Fungi; Glomeromycota. The record is from RNAcentral.